Molecule: ribosomal RNA, 464 nt
Filed under: uncultured Klebsiella sp.
Lineage: Bacteria; Pseudomonadati; Pseudomonadota; Gammaproteobacteria; Enterobacterales; Enterobacteriaceae
Description: bacterial SSU rRNA
Rfam family: Bacterial small subunit ribosomal RNA
Source: RNAcentral
CCCCGGGCGGCUGCCGUGGGGAAUAUUGCACCAUGGGCGCAAGCCUGAUGCCGCCAUGCCGCGUGUGUGAAGCAGGCCUUCGGGUUGUAAAGCACUUUCAGCGGGGAGGAAGGCGGUGAGGUUAAUAACCUCAUCGAUUGACGUUACCCGCAGAAGAAGCACCGGCUAACUCCGUGCCAGCAGCCGCGGUAAUACGGAGGGUGCAAGCGUUAAUCGGAAUUACUGGGCGUAAAGCGCACGCAGGCGGUCUGUCAAGUCGGAUGUGAAAUCCCCGGGCUCAACCUGGGAACUGCAUUCGAAACUGGCAGGCUAGAGUCUUGUAGAGGGGGGUAGAAUUCCAGGUGUAGCGGUGAAAUGCGUAGAGAUCUGGAGGAAUACCGGUGGCGAAGGCGGCCCCCUGGACAAAGACUGACGCUCAGGUGCGAAAGCGUGGGGAGCAAACAGGAUUAGAUACCCGUGUAGUC